This 253-nucleotide ribosomal RNA is filed under the name uncultured bacterium. RNAcentral's name for it is "partial 16S ribosomal RNA". It matches the Rfam family "Bacterial small subunit ribosomal RNA", at positions 524 to 776 of the family's 1533-position model. The record is from RNAcentral.
UACAGAGGUCUCAAGCGUUGUUCGGAUUCAUUGGGCGUAAAGGGUGCGCAGGCGGUUCGUUAAGUCGGAUGUGAAAUCUCACAGCCUAACUGUGAUAGGGCAUUCGAAACUGGCGGACUCGAGGAUUGGAGAGGAGACUGGAAUAGUCGGUGUAGCGGUGAAAUGCGUAGAGAUCGACUAGAACACCGGUGGCGAAGGCGAGUCUCUGGACAAUUCCUGACGCUCAGGCACGAAAGCCAGGGGAGCAAACGGG